UAGGCACAUGUACUUAUCUGGAUGGAGUCU
This 30-nucleotide non-coding RNA is filed under the name Rattus norvegicus (Norway rat). The record is from RNAcentral. Lineage: Eukaryota; Metazoa; Chordata; Mammalia; Rodentia; Muridae.